AGCUUUGCGCAGUGGCAGUUUCAUAGUCAAUGAGGUUUAUCCGAGGCGCGAUUAUUGCUAAUUGAAAACUUUUCCCAAUACCCCGCCAUGACGACUAGAAUUCAGGAAGUAACACACAUAUU
This is a small nuclear RNA of Heterocephalus glaber (naked mole-rat), 122 nucleotides long. Its record names the gene U4. It matches the Rfam family "U4 spliceosomal RNA". Rfam says of the family: U4 small nuclear RNA (U4 snRNA) is a component of the major U2-dependent spliceosome. The structure of U4 snRNA from yeast and human has been reported. The record is from Ensembl. Lineage: Eukaryota; Metazoa; Chordata; Mammalia; Rodentia; Bathyergidae.